CCUACGGGUGGCAGCAGUGAGGAAUAUUGGUCAAUGGCCGGAAGGCUGAACCAGCCAUGCCGCGUGAAGGGCAGGGACCUACGGGCGUUAAACUUCUUUUGUGCGGGAGCAAGAAUGGUCACGUGUGGCCAGACGAGAGUACCGUACGAAGAAGCAGCGGCGAACUCCGUGCCAGCAGCCGCGGUAAUACGGGGGAUGCAAGCGUUCUCCGGCUUUAUUGGGUUUAAAGGGUGCGUAGGCUGUGAGGUAAGUCAGCGGUGAAAUGCCCCCGCUCAACGGGGUGAAGUGCCAUUGAUACUGCCUUGCUGGACUGCUGAUGCCGUGGGAGGCCUGUGUUGUGUAGCGG
This 346-nucleotide ribosomal RNA is filed under the name uncultured bacterium. RNAcentral's name for it is "partial 16S ribosomal RNA". It matches the Rfam family "Bacterial small subunit ribosomal RNA", at positions 338 to 681 of the family's 1533-position model. The record is from RNAcentral.